RNAcentral lists this ribosomal RNA (472 nucleotides) under uncultured bacterium. RNAcentral's name for it is "partial 16S ribosomal RNA". It matches the Rfam family "Bacterial small subunit ribosomal RNA", at positions 28 to 507 of the family's 1533-position model. The record is from RNAcentral.
GACGAACGCUGGCGGCGUGCUUAACACAUGCAAGUCGAACGCUGAAGCUUGGUGCUUGCUCUGGGUGGAUGAGUGGCGAACGGGUGAGUAAUACGUGAGUAACCUGCCCUUGACUCUGGGAUAAGCCUGGGAAACUGGGUCUAAUACUGGAUACGACAUGUCACCGCAUGGUGGUGUGUGGAAAGGGUUUUACCGGUUUUGGAUGGGCUCACGGCCUAUCAGCUUGUUGGUGGGGUAAUGGCUCACCAAGGCGACGACGGGUAGCCGGCCUGAGAGGGUGACCGGCCACACUGGGACUGGGACACGGCCCAGACUCCUACGGGAGGCAGCAGUGGGGAAUAUUGCACAAUGGGCGGAAGCCUGAUGCAGCGACGCCGCGUGAGGGAUGACGGCCUUCGGGUUGUAAACCUCUUUCAGCACGGAAGAAGCGAAAGUGACGGUACGUGCAGAAGAAGCGCCGGCUAACUACGUG